Molecule: long non-coding RNA, 616 nt
Organism: Helianthus annuus (common sunflower)
Lineage: Eukaryota; Viridiplantae; Streptophyta; Magnoliopsida; Asterales; Asteraceae
Exons: 4
Source: RefSeq, a predicted model, not a curated record
CUUAUGCUUUCAAUCACUUUCUUCUUCAACAUAAGUCAUAACAAUGGAGUCUUAUCUUCAAUAACACACACCCUUAAAACAAACCUCUGUCACAUCUCGCUACCAACCCUUUCAAAUUCCACAAUUUUGUCACGACACCUCUCACACGUAACCCUCUCUACUUCGACAUAACCAACCAGUCGCGAUCCAUUUCAAGACCCUCUCUCGCACAGUUGAAUCGUCGCCUGAAUUCUUUUCGUGUUCACGCCAUCGUGUUUGGGAGAAGAACAAGCCUGCGACACACUUUGCAUCAUCGCCGGAAACACCCGAAGUUCACAGCAGGAAUACUCCCUUCGUUACGUUCGUUUCGUCUUUCAUGUUUCUGUUCGAUGGAUUAAAAAGGAAAUCGUUCCUCAACCCUCCAGUCGUCGGAAGACGAAGACGUCGCCCGAACCGAAACCCGACUCGACGUGUUUCGGAUAAUCGCUCUUGUUCGUUCUCUCGGAUGUUUCCCAACCUUUACUCGUGCGUUAUUUCGAGAAAGCAUCAUACGCAACCACUAAGGACAAGGUGCUCCAAACUAAUCCAUCCACCAACUCACUCGCGGGAAUUCAGUAGGAAAAGCUUGCAACCACCG